This 465-nucleotide ribosomal RNA is filed under the name Vreelandella stevensii. RNAcentral describes it as "partial 16S ribosomal RNA". It matches the Rfam family "Bacterial small subunit ribosomal RNA", at positions 338 to 795 of the family's 1533-position model. The record is from RNAcentral. Lineage: Bacteria; Pseudomonadati; Pseudomonadota; Gammaproteobacteria; Oceanospirillales; Halomonadaceae.
CCUACGGGUGGCAGCAGUGGGGAAUAUUGGACAAUGGGCGAAAGCCUGAUCCAGCCAUGCCGCGUGUGUGAAGAAGGCCUUCGGGUUGUAAAGCACUUUCAGUGGGGAAGAAAGCCUUGGGGCUAAUACCCUCGAGGAAGGACAUCACCCACAGAAGAAGCACCGGCUAACUCCGUGCCAGCAGCCGCGGUAAUACGGAGGGUGCGAGCGUUAAUCGGAAUUACUGGGCGUAAAGCGCGCGUAGGCGGUCUGAUAAGCCGGUUGUGAAAGCCCCGGGCUCAACCUGGGAACGGCAUCCGGAACUGCAGGGCAAGAGUGCGGGAGAGGGGGGUAGAAUUCCGGGUGUAGCGGUGAAAUGCGUAGAGAUGGGGAGGAAUACCAGUGGCGAAGGCGGCCUCCUGGAAUGACACUGACGCUGAGGUGCGAAAGCGUGGGUAGCAAACAGGAUUAGAUACCCUAGUAGUC